AGAGUUUGAUCAUGGCUCAGAGUGAACGCUGGCGGCGUGCUUAACACAUGCAAGUCGAACGGUAACAGAACUAGCAAUGGGUGCUGACGAGUGGCGCACGGGUGCGUAACACGUAUGCAACUUACCCUUUACUGGGGAAUAACCUCGGGAAAGCCAGGCUAAUACCCCAUAGUAUUAUUGAGUGGCAUCAUUUGAUAAUUAAAGAUUUAUUGGUUAAGGAUGGGCAUGCGCCCCAUUAGUUAGUUGGUAAGGUAACGGCUUACCAAGACGAUGAUGGGUAGGGGUUCUGAGAGGAUUAUCCCCCACACUGGUACUGAGACACGGACCAGACUCCUACGGGAGGCAGCAGUAAGGAAUAUUGGGCAAUGGGCGCGAGCCUGACCCAGCCAUGCCGCGUGCAGGAAGACGGCCUUAUGGGUUGUAAACUGCUUUUAUAUGGGAAUAACCUACCCCACGUGUGGGGUACUGUAUGUACCAUAAGAAUAAGCAUCGGCUAACUCCGUGCCAGCAGCCGCGGUAAUACGGAGGAUGCAAGCGUUAUCCGGAAUCAUUGGGUUUAAAGGGUGCGUAGGCGGAUAAAUAAGUCAGUGGUGAAAUACCCGUGCUCAACAUGGGAGCUGCCAUUGAUACUGUUUAUCUAGAGUUUAGUUGACGUUGGCGGAAUGUAUCAUGUAGCGGUGAAAUGCAUAGAGAUGACACAGAACACCGAUAGCGAAGGCAGCUGACGAAACUAAAACUGACGCUGAGGCACGAAAGCGUGGGGAUCAAACAGGAUUAGAUACCCUGGUAGUCCACGCCGUAAACGAUGAUAACUAGCUGUAUGCAAUACACCGUCAGCGACUAAGCGAAAGUGAUAAGUGAACCACCUGGGGAGUACGAUCGCAAGGUUGAAACUCAAAGGAAUUGACGGGGGCCCGCACAAGCGGAGGAUCAUGUGGUUUAAUUCGAUGAUACGCGAGGAACCUUACCUGGGCUUAAAUGUAUAUUGACAGUCAAAGAGAUUUGAUUUUCUUCGGACAAUUCACAAGGUGCUGCAUGGAUGUCGUUCGUCAGCUCGUGCCGUGAGGGGUCGGGUUAAGUCCUGCAACGAGCGCAACCCCUACCGUUAGUUGCCAUCAGGUCAAGCUGGGGACUCUAGCGGAACUGCCUGCGCAAGCAGAGAGGAAGGUGGGGAUGACGUCAAAUCAGCACGGCCCUUAUGUCCAGGGCUACACACGUGCUACAAUGGUCGGUACAGAGGGCAGCUACCUAGCAAUAGGAUGCAAAUCUCAAAAGCCGAUCUCAGUUCGGAUCGGAGUCUGCAACUCGACUCCGUGAAGUUGGAUUCGCUAGUAAUCGUAUAUCAGCAAUGAUACGGUGAAUACGUUCCCGGGCCUUGUACACACCGCCCGUCAAGCCAUGGAAGCCGAGGGUACCUGAAGUCGAUUACCGAAAGGGAUUGCCUAGGGUAAAACCGAUAACUGGGGCUAAGUCGUAACAAGGUAGCCGUA
Molecule: ribosomal RNA, 1490 nt
Filed under: uncultured prokaryote
Description: partial 16S ribosomal RNA
Rfam family: Bacterial small subunit ribosomal RNA
Source: RNAcentral